This 405-nucleotide ribosomal RNA is filed under the name uncultured bacterium. Its description in RNAcentral is "bacterial SSU rRNA". It matches the Rfam family "Bacterial small subunit ribosomal RNA", at positions 28 to 417 of the family's 1533-position model. The record is from RNAcentral.
GACGAACGCUGGCGGCGUGCCUAACACAUGCAAGUCGUGCGAGAAAGUUCCUUCGGGAGCGAGUAAAGCGGCGCACGGGUGAGUAACACGUAGGUAACCUGCCCCCCAGUCUGGAACAACUAGAGGAAACUCUAGCUAAUGCCGGAUGAGACCACGAUCCCUUCGGGGGUUGCGGCCAAAGAUGGCCUCUACUUGUAAGCUAUCGCUGAGGGAUGGGCCUGCGGGCCAUUAGCUUGUUGGUGAGGUAACGGCUCACCAAGGCUGUGAUGGCUAGCUGGUCUGAGAGGAUGACCAGCCACACUGGGACUGAGACACGGCCCAGGACUCCUACGGAGGCAGCAGUGGGGAAUAUUGCGCAAUGGGCGAAAGCCUGACGCAGCGACGCCGCGUGGGUGAUGAAGGCCU